Non-coding RNA from Salvia hispanica, 530 nucleotides. Lineage: Eukaryota; Viridiplantae; Streptophyta; Magnoliopsida; Lamiales; Lamiaceae. The record is from RefSeq and is a predicted model, not a curated record.
GAAAUGAGAAAAGAGAGGAUUUAACUCCCAUUCUGGAACUUACGGGAACUCUGCCAUAUGUACACCCACCGCCAUUCACACUUACAGCACCGCUAAUCGUCUACACACACGAGACAACUCACCGGCAACCACCGCGCGAGCUCCUUCACCACGUCUCCCUCUCUGUCUAAAUCUCUCUUCCGUUGUUCAAACACACACGCCUGCCUCGCCCUCUCUAUGCAGUGCUGCUGCUGUCCGGCAGUUUCUAGCGCCACAGUUACCGAAUUUUGACAACGUCUUGUCUAUCCUUUAUAUUUGAGGAUCACACUACUCUUUAUUGUCCAGCUGCUCAAGUUAGUCAUUAGCCCACCUUUUUGUGUUUGGAAUAUUCUGUUUGAUAUGUUAGAUGUGACAUGUAUAGAAGGUCUAAUGUAGUAUGAACAUUUCAUUUACUUCGUUAUCUAGAUUGUAAAAAUAUAUGUACAGAAUCUAGGGAAUAGGCUUAUGCUCUAGUUGUAGAUAAUAUAUAGUAGUUUUUUUUUUUCUUUUCA